GGACUACUAGGGUAUCUAAUCCCGUUCGCUCCCCUGGCUUUCGCACCUGAGCGUCAGUAACUUCCCAGGACACUGCCUACGCCUUUGGUGUUCCUCCGGAUCUCUACGCAUUUCACCACUCCACCCGGAAUUCCGUGUCCCUCUGAAGCCCUCAAGUCUGCCAGUUUUCCAGGCACUUCCUCAGUUAGGCCGAGGACUGUCACCCAGAACUUCGCAGACCGCCUGCGUGCGCUUUACGCCCAGUAACUCCGGACAACGCUCGCCUCCUACGUAUUACCGCGGCUGCUGGCAC
This 292-nucleotide ribosomal RNA is filed under the name uncultured bacterium. RNAcentral's name for it is "partial 16S ribosomal RNA". The record is from RNAcentral.